GCGGCUAUAGUUUAAUGGUAAAAUGUGUCCUUCCCAAGGAUAUGUUGAGGGUUCGAUUCCCUCUAGCCGCU
This 71-nucleotide transfer RNA is filed under the name Candidatus Woesebacteria bacterium. RNAcentral's name for it is "tRNA-Gly". It matches the Rfam family "tRNA". Rfam says of the family: Transfer RNA (tRNA) molecules are approximately 80 nucleotides in length. Their secondary structure includes four short double-helical elements and three loops (D, anti-codon, and T loops). The record is from RNAcentral. RNAcentral also lists the same sequence under 1 other name. Lineage: Bacteria; Candidatus Woeseibacteriota.